GGAGCUGUCCCCCACUUUGUGACUUUCCACUUUAUUUUAUUUUAUUUUUUUGUUUCAUAUGUUGGUAUUAGAUGGCGAGGCAUGCCUAAAAAUUUAGGAGGGCGAUACAAUAAUUACUGCUUGUGUAUCAAUGUGUCCAUAAUUUAUUUUUGCAAACGGGCUUUAGAGAUUACCCUCUUAGCAUAUCAUGGUACUGUUGCCAAUAAAUACCUUUAUCUAAUGCACUUUGACCUUGGAACCUAGGCAUUUUACACAAAUUCUUUUGAGAGUCUAUCUUUAAUCACAAAAAUACUUACGUAGAGAUAUUACUCCACUGAGUCACUGAGAGGUUACUCCACUGGCAUAAAAAUGUCAUUGUUGACUGCAGGCAUCAUAGAACACUAGGGGGCGCUACAGAGUAAGGAAGGAAAGGACAUAGCCUUCUAGAAUUCUGAGAGGUUAGAGAAUCCUCACAAAAUGUUCAGAACGAUUAGCAUAUGUAGAGUUAUAGGUUAGUAAGUGCUAAAUUGUUUUUAAAUUCCACCAUGUCAGAAUGUAACCCAGCUGACUAAGAUAAAGAAACCAAGGUGCAGAGUGGUAUCGGUGAGGGAUUUUGAUGGUUGGAAGCCAAUCUCAGCAAGCGAUGAGGAUAGAACAGUAAAAGGCCACCACAGGAUGGAGAGAAAGUGCCACUAUCAUGAGAUACUGUGCACAGGUACGACUUCCCUGAAGAGAGGCCACGGCAAACCAACAGCCCUGUUUCCUCACAAAGGAAGGUUGGUUCCUAUGAGGUUGCUGCUCUUUCUCCUCAGGAGCCACGCCAGCAAAACCCAGGAACCAACUGAAUGACUGAGCAACGGAAAAUCAGCUGUGCACGUGUCCCUGUUGUCAGCAGGAGACACACAACUGAAUCUUAGAUCACUGCUGCUCACCCUUCGAACAUGGUUGGGACUUCCACAAUGUGGCUAAGCAUGGCUCUCUGACAAGAAGCUAACCAGAUAUCUGGGAAGGGUAAUAUAAUUUACAACAAUCUGCUGCAUCAGCAAAGAUGACUUAGCAUGAGGCCAGCCGAAGAUGUCAACAUCAGUAUAAACAACUAAACAUCUUUAAAAAAAGAAAGAAAGAAAGAAAGAAAAAGAAAGAAAGAAAGAAAGAAAGAAAGAGAAGGAAGAAAGGAAGGAAGGAAAGAAGGAAGAAAAAAAAACUAAACAUCUUCUACAACAUUGAAAUAGCAUGAAUGGUGCCCAGUUCUUGUAAUGAUUUCUCCAAGUACUCUAGGUCAAUAUCAAAAUUCCUACUCACUGAAGAUCAGCGUCAUGGCUAUACAUGGCCCCAUCCUAGGAUACUCAGAUUCGUGAGUGUCCACCUUUCCUCUCCCAUCACACACAGCUGCCCACCUCCAUUAUGCUAUCCUCUGCUGAUUUUGUGAUGACCCAUGAUCCAGAACAGAUAGAUAGUGAAAAGUGUCUGACAGAGGUGACACAGCCUAUGCUCUGGAAAAAGGAGAAAACUGACCUCUUGUGGGGAAAGGCUAACAGUAAAGUCCGUAAAUAGA
Molecule: long non-coding RNA, 1534 nt
Organism: Mastomys coucha (southern multimammate mouse)
Lineage: Eukaryota; Metazoa; Chordata; Mammalia; Rodentia; Muridae
Exons: 4
Source: RefSeq, a predicted model, not a curated record